GAUGAACGCUAGCGGCGUGCCUAAUACAUGCAAGUCGAACGAGGGAACCUGAUGCUUGCAUUGGGUGUACCUAGUGGCGAACGGGUGAGUAACGCGUUGGUGACCUGCCCCGAAGAGGGGGAUAACAGCUCGAAAGGGCUGCUAAUACCCCAUGUGCUUGCUGGAGUUAGAGAUCUGGCAAGUAAAGGAGCAAUCCGCUUCGGGAGGGGCCUGCGUCCCAUCAGCUAGUUGGUAGGGUAACGGCCUACCAAGGCGACGACGGGUAGGGGGCCUGAGAGGGUGGCCCCCCACAAUGGAACUGAAACACGGUCCAUACACCUACGGGUGGCAGCAGUAGGGAAUAUUGCACAAUGGGCGAAAGCCUGAUGCAGCAACGCCGCGUGGGCGAAGAAGGCCUUCGGGUUGUAAAGCCCUUUUCGAGGGGAUGAGAAAGGACAGUACCCUCGGAAUAAGCCUCGGCUAACUACGUGCCAGCAGCCGCGGUAAUACGUAGGAGGCGAGCGUUAUCCGGAUUUACUGGGCGUAAAGCGCGUGCAGGCGGUUUGACAAGUCGGAUGUGAAAUCUCCGGGCUCAACCCGGAGAGGCCGUUCGAGACUGUCGGACUAGAGGACGGUAGAGGGAGGUGGAAUUCCCGGUGUAGUGGUGAAAUGCGUAGAUAUCGGGAGGAACACCAGUGGCGAAGGCGGCCUCCUGGGCCGAUCCUGACGCUCAGACGCGAAAGCUAGGGUAGCAAACGGGAUUAGAGACCCCGGUAGUCCUAGCCGUAAACGAUGCGGACUUGGCGUCGGCAGUGUAAAAACUGUCGGUGUCGAAGCUAACGCGAUAAGUCCGCCGCCUGGGGACUACGGCCGCAAGGCUAAAACUCAAAGGAAUUGACGGGGGCCCGCACAAGCAGCGGAGCGUGUGGUUUAAUUCGAUGCUACACGAAGAACCUUACCUGGGCUUGACAUGGUGGCGAACGAACGCGAAAGCGGGAGGUUCCCUUCRGGGACGCCAUCACAGGUGUUGCAUGGCUGUCGUCAGCUCGUGUCGUGAGAUGUCCGGUUAAGUCCGGUAACGAGCGCAACCCUUGCCGCAUGUUACAAGUGUCAUGCGGGACCGCCGGUAACAAGCCGGAGGAAGGUGGGGAUGACGUCAAGUCAGCAUGGCCUUUAUGUCCAGGGCUACACACACGCUACAAUGGCCGGUACAAUGGGUUGCAAAACCGCGAGGUGGAGCCAAUCCCAAAAGCCGGUCUCAGUUCGGAUUGCAGGCUGCAACUCGCCUGCAUGAAGUCGGAGUUGCUAGUAACCGCGCGUCAGCAAUAGUGCGGUGAAUACGUUCUCGGGCCUUGUACACACCGCCCGUCACGUCAUGGGAGCUGGCAACACCUGAAGUCGGUAGCUGAACCCGAAAGGGAAGGCGCCGCCUAGGGUGGGGCUGGUGACUGGGACG
RNAcentral lists this ribosomal RNA (1435 nucleotides) under Thermomarinilinea lacunifontana. Its description in RNAcentral is "16S ribosomal RNA". It matches the Rfam family "Bacterial small subunit ribosomal RNA". Lineage: Bacteria; Bacillati; Chloroflexota; Anaerolineae; Anaerolineales; Anaerolineaceae. The record is from RNAcentral.